This 489-nucleotide ribosomal RNA is filed under the name uncultured bacterium. Its description in RNAcentral is "bacterial SSU rRNA". It matches the Rfam family "Bacterial small subunit ribosomal RNA", at positions 28 to 507 of the family's 1533-position model. The record is from RNAcentral.
GAUGAACGCUAGCGAUAGGCCUAACACAUGCAAGUCGAGGGGCAUCACAUGAAGUAGCAAUACGGAUGGUGGCGACCGGCGCACGGGUGAGUAACACGUAUGCAACCUGCCUUCAACAAGGGGAUAACCCGUUGAAAGACGGACUAAUACCCUAUAACACAGGGGUCCCGCAUGGGAAUAUUUGUUAAAGGACAACCGGUUGAAGAUGGGCAUGCGUUCCAUUAGCUAGUUGGCGGGGUAAGGCCCACCAAGGCAACGAUGGAUAGGGGAACUGAGAGGUUUAUCCCCCACACUGGUACUGAGACACGGACCAGACUCCUACGGGAGGCAGCAGUGAGGAAUAUUGGUCAAUGGACGCAAGUCUGAACCAGCCACGUCGCGUGAAGGAAGACGGCCCUACGGGUUGUAAACUUCUUUUGCAAGGGAAUAAAGUGGGCCACGUGUGGCCUUUUGCAAGUACCUUGCGAAUAAGGAUCGGCUAACUCCGUG